This is a long non-coding RNA of Rhinopithecus roxellana (golden snub-nosed monkey), 1645 nucleotides long. RefSeq lists it as uncharacterized. Lineage: Eukaryota; Metazoa; Chordata; Mammalia; Primates; Cercopithecidae. The record is from RefSeq and is a predicted model, not a curated record. The transcript is spliced from 4 exons.
GUUACAACAUUCUUGCAUUUUUUACCUCAGGGUCCUAGAACCAUCUUUCAUUAUUUUAAUUGGAGAACAAUAUUUGGCAACAAACAUCUGGGCACUAGUGGUCUUCUAAGUGGACAGAACUAUGAAAUACAUAUAUAUACACCAACCCGUUAUUCACACAGGAGAAGUCAAUUAGUGGUCCUGAUGGGGUUGAAGAAUUGCUGCAGAAGUAGUACCAGACAUGAAAAGAGAAGCCUGCAUGAGACAAUAGGAGACUUGAGGAAGCUAUUUGGGGGUAAUUCAAAUAAUUUGUCAUUGGAAGUCUAGAAAAAGAAAGUGGAGAAGAAGGUGAAGGAAAUGAUCAUUUGAAGUGAGCAACUGAAACAACUGAGAAGCCAAGAUUGAUGUUGGAAGUCAUCAAAGAUGUUGAAAGUUUUAAGGAAGAAGAGAAAAGAAAUGGCAGAGAAGUCAUAACGAAAAGCAGCAAAGGAGAGAAGCAUUCACGUGCAAUGGCUGCACAGUGUUAAGCUCACUCGAUCACUUGAAAGCUCCAGUCUGUGACACUCACCCUCAAACCUGGUCUCAGGCACCCUUGUGAGAAGUAUGUGAGGAAUCCCAGGAACCAUCGCACCCACUGACUUCCUGCCAAAAGUUUCCUAAUGUGAUGCAUCCUUGUGACCUGUUCUUGCCUUGCCUACAGACAUGUGGAACACCAAACCUACGUACUUCCUGUGCUGGGGGAGGAGCAAGAAAGGCUGCUGAGAGCUGCUGGGUACUGGAGGAGAAGAGAAAGCACCAGGGUUUCUGCACAGGAAAGGGGUGAUUCUGCAGCACUGUGACCAAACCACUGGCACAAAGAUACACAGCCGAGUCCCUGGGUUCUGAGGGCUGGAUCUUCAGAGUGGCUAAAGAUGCAUCAGGCAUCUCUGCUGAGAAUCGAUCCUUGGGCAUUCCUGAAUCAUCUAGAGAAGCCUUGUUGCGCCUCAUCUUCUUCCAGGAGACACACUGGAUUAUGCCUCAUAUGUGGAUAUGCUGGUGGCAUCACUGUGAUUGUCAACUCCCUAGGGAGAGAGUCCCUCUGCUGUGGUCCUGGAUAGCACCUCCAUUUCUUGCUAUUCUACUCUCUACAGAGCAGGCUAGCCCUGCAUGGAAGAGAAAGUUCACUACUGAUCUUAGCACACGUUGAAAACGCACCAAAGAAUCUACGUUUUCUCUAGGGAACCAGGAGAAAAUGGGAAAUAAGGAGAGACUAAAAUGAAGAGAACAAAUACUAUAACUGAUUUCCCUUCCAUAGAGAAGAUUUGGCAAGGAAUGGGAAGUUUAAAAGAGGAUUAUUAUUUUCGGGGUGCCCCACAAAAUGGGGUAUGUGGGACAAACUUGUCCCAGGAGACUGGCUUUAAAUGGGGUAAAACAAUAGUAACAUAUCAGUUACUCCCUCCAAUUUUGACCACUGCCCCUCGGGAAUACUCAUAAAACAGCACAAAUGUUCCCUCAGAGUGCAGUAAUUAAAUUAAUUUGAAGCCCAAUCUGUACUAUCUAACCUAAUCUCAGCAUUCUCUUGAUUGUGUUUCUCAUCUUGCCAUAUGGUCCAAUGGAACGCAGAGGUUAUGUGAUAGAAAUAAAUAACAGUAUAAGAAUACUCUAGUAAUAACAUGCCCCAAACAAA